UACGUAGGGCGCAAGCGUUAUCCGGAAUUAUUGGGCGUAAAGAGCUCGUAGGCGGUUUGUCGCGUCUGCUGUGAAAUCCGGAGGCUCAACCUCCGGCCUGCAGUGGGUACGGGCAGACUAGAGUGCGGUAGGGGAGAUUGGAAUUCCUGGUGUAGCGGUGGAAUGCGCAGAUAUCAGGAGGAACACCGAUGGCGAAGGCAGAUCUCUGGGCCGUAACUGACGCUGAGGAGCGAAAGCAUGGGGAGCGAACAGG
RNAcentral lists this ribosomal RNA (253 nucleotides) under uncultured bacterium. RNAcentral's name for it is "partial 16S ribosomal RNA". It matches the Rfam family "Bacterial small subunit ribosomal RNA", at positions 524 to 776 of the family's 1533-position model. The record is from RNAcentral.